Molecule: ribosomal RNA, 454 nt
Filed under: uncultured bacterium
Lineage: Bacteria
Description: partial 16S ribosomal RNA
Rfam family: Bacterial small subunit ribosomal RNA
Source: RNAcentral
GAUGAACGCUGACAGAAUGCUUAACACAUGCAAGUCAACCUGAACUUCGGUUUGGGUGGCGGACGGGUGAGUAACGCGUAAAGAACUUGCCUCCCAGCUAGGGACAACAUUUGGAAACGAAUGCUAAUACCUGAUAUUAUGAUUUUAGGGCAUCCUAGAAUUAUGACAGCUAUAUGCGCUGUGAGAGAGCUUUGCGUCCCAUUAGCUAGUUGGAGAGGUAACGGCUCACCAAGGCGAUGAUGGGUAGCCGGCCUGAGAGGGUGAACGGCCACAAGGGGACGGAGACACGGCCCGUACUCCUCCGGGGGGCAGCAGGGGGGAAAAUUGGACAAUGGACCAAGAGUCUGAUCCAGCAAUUCUGUGUGCAAGAAGAAGUUUUUCGGAAUGUAAAGUGCUUUCAGUUGGGAAGAAAAAAAUGACGGUACCAACAGAAGAAGUGACGGCUAAAUACGUG